Non-coding RNA from Camelina sativa (false flax), 1742 nucleotides. Lineage: Eukaryota; Viridiplantae; Streptophyta; Magnoliopsida; Brassicales; Brassicaceae. The record is from RefSeq and is a predicted model, not a curated record.
AAAUCCAGUGUUAUUGAAUAGUGUAUUUUUAAAAAUCCAUUAAAAUCUAGGGUUAUUCAAUAUCCAUUAGAUUUUGUGUUAAUUUGGAUUUGAACGUACUUUGGUUCUCAGAUACAAAGAAACACAAUACUACACUUUUGUCAGGGAUUUCUUUUCUUUUUUCUUUCUCUCCCUCUCUUUUCUUUCUCUACUAGUGUUUGAUUUGGAAUUUGAGAGCGUGAUUCCCUUUGUUCCUUCACUUCUCAUGUUUCUGAUUGAAAAUCUCUAGAUUUGGUUUUGUAGUAUCUCGAUCGGAUUUGACUAUCUUCUCUUUGUUUCUUUUACUCAUCCAGUGAGAAGGAAUCGUCUUUCAUGUAUUCUUCUGUGUAAUCGACUGUCUUGUUUGGUUAGAAGCUCAAGGCUCCUAGGUUUAUAGGCAUGAUCUGUAACUUCAUCUCUGUUAGGGCUUAGGGCUUUAGAGUUAUUAACUUUUGAUUCUCAUGUUAUGGCACUGAUAAUCAUUCAAAGGAGGAUCAUCGUCGAGCAAAUCAUUAGAUGAAGGAAGUGCUUCUGGUUCAAGAAAGAACGGUUCAAAGCAUAGUAAGAAUCUGAAAGCAGAGGAAGCUUAUAAGAAUGGUGAAGGAGCAGUUCAAGUUGAGAGUGGGAGGAAAGUGAUGGUUGUUGUGGACACAACUUCACAAUCAGUGAGAAAUUCAUCUAGCCAAAGAUAAUUUUUUUUUUGCUUCUCACUAUUCCUUGCGCUGCAUGUUCAUCUUAAGUUAAGAGCUUUCAUUUCUCAAAGCAUAGGUUUUAUAGUUCACCUGUCUUUGUUUUCCAGUUUAUACUGCCUGAUCAUCUUCUUUGCUAAAAGAUAUCCUAUACUGAUAGAACAGCUUUCAUCUGAAUAAUUUUUAAGUUUCUUGGGAUGUUUGGUACUAAUGUUCACAGACUGAAAUGACAACUGCCGAAAGAGAACUUGAUCAAAAUACAAAUUUUGAUUGGAACCGUAUACAAGAGAGUGGAAAAGAAUUGGUACCAGUUUUUGGACCUGGAUAACCGGACGACUUGUCAAUCUUUGGAACAGUUGCUACUUGGCAGCUACGAUGCAAGUUGUUUUCUCUACCCCUUCAUUUAUUUCAAGAUACUUUUCACAUCAGUGCUUAUAAGAUGGCUUUUGAGAUGGCUCCUGCUGAUCCUGGCUUUGGAUGAUACAUGCUUUAGUUUCUGUUUUUUUUUUUUUUUUCUCUGUUUGAUUUAAUAUGAUCAAAAACAAAGGACUGAAGACGAUGAUGAAACUGCAAAACAACCAGAAAAGACAAGGCAAAGAUGUGAUGAUGUAAAUGGUAGUAAUGAAGAGAAGAAGACUAUGAGUGAUGAUAGAACAAAGGAAGCAGAGUGUUUGCUCCACAAAGAUAGAGAAAAACAUAGAUGCAUUGAAAAGCUUUGCAGUUUAGUUAAGAUGGAAGAAGAUAUUGAUGAAAGAUUGAGGCAGAGAAAGCUUGCAAUAAAGGAGAUAGGAGUAAAGCUGGAGGCCCGUAUGAUCAAGGUGGAGAAGAGUUUGGCCAAGAUUAGAAAAUGGAAAACCAGACCAAAAAUGCAGUUUCUGCCUAGCUAGUUAUGCCAUUUGAUCUGAAACUUUUCAAGAGUAUCCCCUAAGUAAGUCAUGGAUAUUAAAAAUUAAACAAUGUCCCUUACUCGCAGGCAAAUGACAAAACUUUAUGGUGCUAGUAUUAGAAAUAUAUAUCAAAUGUGGGGAAUCAAUA